UAGGGAAUCUUCGGCAAUGGGGGCAACCCUGACCGAGCAACGCCGCGUGAGUGAAGAAGGUUUUCGGAUCGUAAAGCUCUGUUGUAAGAGAAGAACGUGUGUGAGAGUGGAAAGUUCACACAGUGACGGUAACUUACCAGAAAGGGACGGCUAACUACGUGCCAGCAGCCGCGGUAAUACGUAGGUCCCGAGCGUUGUCCGGAUUUAUUGGGCGUAAAGCGAGCGCAGGCGGUUUAAUAAGUCUGAAGUUAAAGGCAGUGGCUUAACCAUUGUUCGCUUUGGAAACUGUUAAACUUGAGUGCAGAAGGGGAGAGUGGAAUUCCAUGUGUAGCGGUGAAAUGCGUAGAUAUAUGGAGGAACACCGGUGGCGAAAGCGGGUCUCUGGUCUGUAACUGACGCUGAGGCUCGAAAGCGUGGGGAGCAAACAGG
RNAcentral lists this ribosomal RNA (429 nucleotides) under bacterium. RNAcentral's name for it is "partial 16S ribosomal RNA". It matches the Rfam family "Bacterial small subunit ribosomal RNA", at positions 355 to 776 of the family's 1533-position model. The record is from RNAcentral.